This 301-nucleotide ribosomal RNA is filed under the name uncultured bacterium. RNAcentral describes it as "partial 16S ribosomal RNA". It matches the Rfam family "Bacterial small subunit ribosomal RNA", at positions 509 to 809 of the family's 1533-position model. The record is from RNAcentral.
CAGUAGCCACGGUAAUACAGAGGGUGCGAGCGUUAAUCGGAUUUACUGGGCGUAAAGCGUGCGUAGGCGGCUAAUUGAGUCGGAUGUGAAAUCCCCGAGCUUAACUUGGGAAUUGCAUUCGAUACUGGUUAGCUAGAGUGUGGGAGAGGAUGGUAGAAUUCCAGGUGUAGCGGUGAAAUGCGUAGAGAUCUGGAGGAAUACCGAUGGCGAAGGCAGCCAUCUGGCCUAAUACUGACGCUGAGGUACGAAAGCAUGGGGAGCAAACAGGAUUAGAUACCCCUGUAGUCCCUGUCUCUUAUAA